This 473-nucleotide ribosomal RNA is filed under the name uncultured bacterium. Its description in RNAcentral is "bacterial SSU rRNA". It matches the Rfam family "Bacterial small subunit ribosomal RNA", at positions 34 to 507 of the family's 1533-position model. The record is from RNAcentral.
CGCUGGCGGCGUGCCUAACACAUGCAAGUCAACUUGACUGAAGGAGCAAUCUGACAGUAGAGUGGCGCAAGGGUGCAUAACGCGUAAGUAACUUGCCCAAGGUAAGGAAUAACGUCGAGAAAUCGGCGCUAAUACCUCAUAAUGCAGCGGAUCCGCAUGGAUAUGUUGUUAAAGGUUUACCGCCUUGGGAUAGGCUUGCGUCUGAUUAGCUAGUUGGUGUGGUAACGGCACACCAAGGCUACGAUCAGUAACUGGUCUGAGAGGAUGAUCAGUCACACUGGAACUGAGACACGGUCCAGACUCCUACGGGAGGCAGCAGUGAGGAAUAUUGGGCAAUGCUCGAAAGAGUGACCCAGCAACGCCGCGUGGAGGAUGAAGGUAUUCUAUAUCGUAAACUCCUGUGAGAGCAGACGAAAGACAGAUUAUUAAUCUGGAUGACUGUAUGCUCAGAGGAAGCCCCGGCUAACUACGUG